CCCUUGUUGCGAGCAGAUGCUCGACCAAUGAAAGAUGAAUGGAAAAUCAAACCAUAUUUUGGUGUGUUUCCUCGUGUUUUCAAUGCCCUGAACAGUGCUUUCUCUGCACCAAGAAUCUGAAGGGUAGAAGAAGGGCACUUAGCCAAAUUUGUAAGACUACCAGCGUGGGAAAUCAAACGAGCCCCAACAACUUCACCAAUCAAGGAGGCCAAAUUAGGCGCUAUGUCAUUCAUUUUAGUAACCAGAUAUUCAUAGAGCUUUUUCCUAUACUCAGAGAGAUCCAUUACCCUCUGAGCAAACUGUUGGACAUUAAUUAAGUCAAUCGGGGACAAAUCCUGUCCCAUUGAUGCCUUGGCAGCUUCUACAACCUCCUUUGCCCUAUCUUCAUCUCCAAGUAUGUCUGUUAAUUCAGGAAUUUUGUCUUCAGACAACUUUGCCUUGUCAUCUAUAAACUUGGCAAGUUUUGCAUAGAGAUAGUUGUCAUUGACAAUCUUCACUAAUUCAGGGAAAUGCCAAGAGUACCAUUCUCUGACUCUCAUAGAGAAGGAAUUGAUAUCCUUAUCAAGAGUAUCAAGGAGGAAAAUUGCUUGAAUAACCAUAUUGUCAACUCGGUUGACAUUGAACUUCACUUUUGCCCUGCUGUAACUGUGCCCCAGACCAAGUUGGGCUUUCUCCAAAUCACCAGGCUUUAGAUCUUUGAUGAACCUUUCAAAAUGAAGUCGCACACCACGAAGAAGCUCAAGAACAAAUUCAUUGCUUUGGCAAGGUAUUUUUGUCACUUCAAAGAUAUGUGACCCCAACUUAGGCUCAGCAACUGCUAAACUAAACUUUGUCUUCUUACCUUCCUUCACUUUUGGGAGAUUAAGUUCUAAAAAGCUCCUCAACUCGUCCGUCAUAAGCCCUUCAGAAACUGAGUUACACUGAUUCAGAGCGUCUAAAGAUGACUCAAAGGGAUGAAAAGCAGUUAGCUGAACCACUUUACCAAAACGAUUGAGAUNGCGAACAGCGUCCGUGUUCUGCCCAAUUUCAUCAAGACCAUUAGCGAGAAAGAGACUGUAACCAGAAGCCGACUCAUAUAAUAAAUACAGAGUCAUGGUUGAAAUUUA
This 1106-nucleotide unclassified non-coding RNA is filed under the name Hevea brasiliensis (rubber tree). The record is from RNAcentral. Lineage: Eukaryota; Viridiplantae; Streptophyta; Magnoliopsida; Malpighiales; Euphorbiaceae.